This 73-nucleotide transfer RNA is filed under the name Osteocephalus yasuni. RNAcentral describes it as "tRNA-Leu". It matches the Rfam family "tRNA". From Rfam's summary of the family: Transfer RNA (tRNA) molecules are approximately 80 nucleotides in length. Lineage: Eukaryota; Metazoa; Chordata; Amphibia; Anura; Hylidae. The record is from RNAcentral.
GUUAACGUAGCAUAACCUGGUACUGCAAAAGGCCUAAACCCUUUCCAUAGAGAUUCAAAUCCUCUCGUUAACU